GACGGAGGGGGCUAGCGUUGUUCGGAAUUACUGGGCGUAAAGAGUACGUAGGCGGCUAUUCAAGUUGGGUGUGAAAGCCCGGAGCUUAACUCCGGAACUGCACUCAAAACUGAAUGGCUAGAGACCUGGAGAGGUGAGUGGAACUCCCAGUGUAGAGGUGAAAUUCGUAGAUAUUGGGAAGAACACCAGUGGCGAAGGCGGCUCACUGGACAGGUACUGACGCUGAGGUACGAAAGCGUGGGGAGCAAAC
RNAcentral lists this ribosomal RNA (250 nucleotides) under uncultured bacterium. RNAcentral describes it as "partial 16S ribosomal RNA". It matches the Rfam family "Bacterial small subunit ribosomal RNA", at positions 524 to 773 of the family's 1533-position model. The record is from RNAcentral.